AGUGAACGCUGGCGGCGUGCUUAACACAUGCAAGUCGAACGAGAACGGAAUAUAGCUUGCUAUAUUUGUCAGCUAAGUGGCGCACGGGUGAGUAAUGUAUAGAUAACCUGCCCUUAAGAAAGGAAUAACAGUUGGAAGCGACUACUAAUGCCCUAUAUGCCUUUAAUACAUAAGUAUGCAAGGGAAACGCUUUAGUGCUUAAGGAUGGGUCUGUAUGGUAUCAGCUUGUUGGUGAGGUAAUGGCUCACCAAGGCUAUGACGCCUAACUGGUUUGAGAGGAUGACCAGUCACACUGGAACUGAGACACGGUCCAGACUCCUACGGGAGGCAGCAGUGGGGAAUAUUGCACAAUGGACGAAAGUCUGAUGCAGCAACGCCGCGUGGAGGAUGACACAUUUCGGUGCGUAAACUCCUUUUAUAUAGGAAGAUAAUGACGGUACUAUAUGAAUAAGCACCGGCUAACUCCGUGCCAGCCGCCGCCGUAA
RNAcentral lists this ribosomal RNA (485 nucleotides) under uncultured bacterium. RNAcentral describes it as "partial 16S ribosomal RNA". It matches the Rfam family "Bacterial small subunit ribosomal RNA", at positions 29 to 523 of the family's 1533-position model. The record is from RNAcentral.